GCCUGGGUGGCUCAGUGGUUGAGCAUCUGCCUUUGGCUCAGCGUGUGGUCCUGAGUCCUGGGAUCAAGUCCCAAAUCAGGCU
Molecule: transfer RNA, 82 nt
Filed under: Canis lupus familiaris (dog)
Lineage: Eukaryota; Metazoa; Chordata; Mammalia; Carnivora; Canidae
Also listed under: 1 other name
Rfam family: tRNA
About the family: Transfer RNA (tRNA) molecules are approximately 80 nucleotides in length. Their secondary structure includes four short double-helical elements and three loops (D, anti-codon, and T loops). Further hydrogen bonds mediate the characteristic L-shaped molecular structure. tRNAs have two regions of fundamental functional importance: the anti-codon, which is responsible for specific mRNA codon recognition, and the 3' end, to which the tRNAs corresponding amino acid is attached (by aminoacyl-tRNA synthetases). tRNAs cope with the degeneracy of the genetic code in two manners: having more than one tRNA (with a specific anti-codon) for a particular amino acid; and 'wobble' base-pairing, i.e. permitting non-standard base-pairing at the 3rd anti-codon position.
Source: Rfam by way of RNAcentral